UAAUAGACUACCCUGGUAGUCCACGCCCUAAACGAUGUCUACUAGUUGUUGGUGGAGUAAAAUCCAUUAGUAACGCAGCUAACGCGUGAAGUAGACCGCCUGGGGGAGUACGGUCGCAAGAUUAAAACUCAAAGGAAUUGACGGGGGCCCGGCACAAGCGGUGGAUUAUGUGGAUUAAUUCGAUGCAACGCGAAAAACCUUACCUGGCCUUGACAUGCCACUAACGAAGCAGAGAUGCAUUAGGUGCCCGAAAGGGAAAGUGGACACAGGUGCUGCAUGGCUGUCGUCAGCUCGUGUCGUGAGAUGUUGGGUUAAGUCCCGCAACGAGCGCAACCCUUGCCAAUAAUUGCCAUCAUUCAGUUGGGCACUUUAUUGGGACUGCCGGUGACAAACCGGAGGAAGGUGGGGAUGACGUCAAGUCCUCAUGGCCCUUAUGGCCAGGGCUUCACACGUAAUACAAUGGUCGGUACAGAGGGUAGCCAAGCCGCGAGGUGGAGCCAAUCCCAGAAACGCCGAUCGUAGUCCGGAUUGCAGU
RNAcentral lists this ribosomal RNA (535 nucleotides) under uncultured bacterium. Its description in RNAcentral is "bacterial SSU rRNA". It matches the Rfam family "Bacterial small subunit ribosomal RNA", at positions 776 to 1304 of the family's 1533-position model. The record is from RNAcentral.